UUUGGGCUUCAUGUUCUUUUUUCUCCAGGUCUAGAAUUCUUUUUUGGUUUCAUAUGCCUUAUUUGAUUUAAAAUUCUUAUCGUCGUCGUUGUCCGAUGAAGCCGCCUCCAACAUACAACCUGAAACGCCUUACGUUUCCAUUAUUUUGGUCCUUUAAUCCUAGCAUUAACAAGCUUCGUCCCACUACGCAACAUUAAUUCGAGCUCGGACUCUUCGUAUGUGGUUCAAAGCUCUCCUAUAAAUUGACAUCUCUGCAGUGAUGAAGACCGAUGUAUCUACGAAAACUACAAGUAUCAUCUCUGCUUAUUAUCACCUCCGACAAUGGCGAAUUCAUUCACCCUACUUGCUGAUCUGAAAGCAGGUCGAUGUUCAACCACAACAGCCGUAUAUUUUUUUUUGCUCUUUAUAUGAUGGAAAGCUGGCUCAGAAGGCGAGAGAAAAGGUCUUACAGGGUUUCAAUCAAAUCAAACAGAAAAUAGUUCUGCUUAUAUCUAAGAAAGCUGGAGGAGUUGGUCUGAAUAUGACUGCAGCUUCAAACGUCUUCUGAAUGGAUUCAUGGUGGACUCCGGCUAUAGAAGAGGAAGAAAUCAUGAGAAUCCAUCGCAUACAACAUAAAAGAAUUCUAGAGGGCUUGGUGAAAGAAACAUUGAAAUGGUGCAGAGAAAUCACAUGGAACAGCCUACUGCAAUUUAUGUGCUUAAAGCAGGACUGCACUCAGUGGUGAGAAUGACAGACUUCAAGGGCUAGGACGCCAUGAAGGAGACACUCCUAUUCUAUGGAACCGAAGAAGCUAUUGAAGAAUGUCUUACUGUAUGGGCUUGGAGGCAAUGCCACACUCUUAUUCUAUGUUAAGGUAUCUUGCUACUUUUCCAUGUGGAGCAGUCCCUUUCACUGCAGAAGAAGAGCGACCACCAGAUCUUUCAUGUGAUGGUGCUGCCAAAAAAUAUGAGUAUGUCCGUGUGUAAGUAUCUGCUGCUGGAACUGAGCUUUAAGGAAUUGUAAGACGUCAGUAAUAAGGCUGCAAGUUUUUCCACUGGGAUGAUGUGGCAGUAACAGAAUCAGGCUGAGAAUAAGUCAUCCAUCCAUCGUUGUUGCUGCAGUAGGAGGCCAAGUAAUAGAAACAAAGUUGCGGUCUCUGGAUGGAUUGUCAAAAAAAAAAACAGCAUCAGACCAUUCAUUGAUGGGGUCUUCAGUAAUUCUUUUCUGGGUCCACGACAUGAGCUGAACAGCUUCCAUCUCAUGUUUGUUCUGGUGAACAACGGGAGCUGUAGAUACGAACUGGUAGCCUUUGGAAGAGGAAUUCAAAUUUGCAGGGGCAUAACCACUUGAAAAAGAGGUAAACGACAUGGAAAAGUUUUGUGCAUGCAUAGGAGCAGGCAUGAUCUUGCCAUAUAGCCCUCCUUUAUAAGUGUGCUACCCUUUGAAUCUCGAUUAUCUCUUUUAACUUUGGCUUUUGAGAUUGUUGAGAGUGUAUCUGAAUAUUAGCUUGGCUUGAGACGCUUUUCACACUAACUUGCCGUUGCAGUUGCAUAUGCGGUUGGGGAGCAACUUGAUGAUGCAUUUGUCUCUCUUAAACAUUAUUCAUGCAAACUCUAUAAAACUUUGAUUUUUUUUUUAGUUA
Long non-coding RNA from Brassica oleracea var. oleracea, 1621 nucleotides. RefSeq lists it as uncharacterized. Lineage: Eukaryota; Viridiplantae; Streptophyta; Magnoliopsida; Brassicales; Brassicaceae. The transcript is spliced from 6 exons. The record is from RefSeq and is a predicted model, not a curated record.